GUGGAUGUGCCAGAGUGGUUAUUGGGCGCGACUAGAAAUCAUGUGGGGUUCCCCGCGCAGGUUCGAAUCCUGUGGUCCACG
Arabis alpina (gray rockcress) is the source of this 81-nucleotide transfer RNA. It matches the Rfam family "tRNA". Rfam says of the family: Transfer RNA (tRNA) molecules are approximately 80 nucleotides in length. Their secondary structure includes four short double-helical elements and three loops (D, anti-codon, and T loops). Further hydrogen bonds mediate the characteristic L-shaped molecular structure. tRNAs have two regions of fundamental functional importance: the anti-codon, which is responsible for specific mRNA codon recognition, and the 3' end, to which the tRNAs corresponding amino acid is attached (by aminoacyl-tRNA synthetases). tRNAs cope with the degeneracy of the genetic code in two manners: having more than one tRNA (with a specific anti-codon) for a particular amino acid; and 'wobble' base-pairing, i.e. permitting non-standard base-pairing at the 3rd anti-codon position. The record is from Rfam. Lineage: Eukaryota; Viridiplantae; Streptophyta; Magnoliopsida; Brassicales; Brassicaceae.